Molecule: ribosomal RNA, 322 nt
Filed under: uncultured eukaryote
Lineage: Eukaryota
Description: partial 18S ribosomal RNA
Rfam family: Eukaryotic small subunit ribosomal RNA
Source: RNAcentral
CCCUUAGAUGUUCUGGGCCGCACGCGUGCUACACUGAGUGGAUCAGCGGGUCAGGUUGCGCGAAAGUGUUUCCUAAUCUUUAAAUCCGCUCGUGAUGGGGAUUGACGGUUGCAAUUUUCCGUCAUGAACGAGGAAUACCUUGUAAGCGCGGGUCAUCAUCCCGCGCUGAAUACGUCCCUGCCCUUUGUACACACCGCCCGUCGCUCCUACCGAUUGAGUGGUCCGGUGAGGCUUUGGGAUCUGAGCGGAAAGAGCGUUUCGCUGUUUCUGCCCGGAAAACUCAGUCGAACCUUAUCAUUUAGAGGAAGGGGAAGUCGCAACA